ACCCUUCAAGAUAGGCAAUCAAUCAACUUCUAAUUCUCUCCUCUCAUCAUUCUCUAUCUCCUGACUUAAGCAUCGAAGGGUUUACACUGGAGCCACCCCCUGAUGUGGACUUAUUUUAUAGGUGUUCGUGCAAAAUUCUAGUAGUGAAUUCAUCUCAACUAUAUCUACCUAGGCGACCGACCUCAGGUGGGGAGAUCGAUAGCAACAUUUGACGCUAGAGGAAGGGGCUCUUCGACUAGUCUUGAGAUCCUACUUCAAAGAUAGUCUUGAGGUCCUAUUUUGAGAGAAGAGGAAGCUUGUCACCAGUCGCCAAUCGCCAUGAGGACAUGCAGAGGGGCAUCGAAUGCGUCAUAGUGUUCCAAUGGUUAGUAGGCCAACAACAUCCAGCCGACCAAUGAAUUACCACCAGCAUAGGAGAAUCCUCCACCCAUCUCACCAACAGCACUAGUAGCCCCCCGACAUCGACAAUCUCUCAUGAUCAAUAUAAUAGCCUCAUCCAACAAGUACAGAUACUGUCAGCAGCAGUGCGGGGGAUCCAACAAAACAAGGAGCCAUUCCCCACUGCAGAAGAUGCACGGCU
This 580-nucleotide long non-coding RNA is filed under the name Elaeis guineensis (African oil palm). Its description in RNAcentral is "long non-coding RNA (EGUI_LNC004601)". Lineage: Eukaryota; Viridiplantae; Streptophyta; Magnoliopsida; Arecales; Arecaceae. The record is from RNAcentral.